GACGAACGCUGGCGGCGUGCUUAACACAUGCAAGUCGAACGGAAAGGCCCUGCUUUUGUGGGGUGCUCGAGUGGCGAACGGGUGAGUAACACGUGAGUAACCUGCCCUUGACUUUGGGAUAACUUCAGGAAACUGGGGCUAAUACCGGAUAGGAGCUCCUGCUGCAUGGUGGGGGUUGGAAAGUUUCGGCGGUUGGGGAUGGACUCGCGGCUUAUCAGCUUGUUGGUGGGGUAGUGGCUUACCAAGGCUUUGACGGGUAGCCGGCCUGAGAGGGUGACCGGCCACAGUGGGACUGAGAUGCGGCCCAGACUGCUACGGGAGGCAGGAGUGGGGAAUAGUGCACAAUGGGCGGAAGGCUGAUGCAGCAACGCCGCGUGCGGGAUGACGGCCUUCGGGUUGUAAACCGCUUUCGCCUGUGACGAAGCGUGAGGGACGGUAAUGGGUAAAGAAGCACCGGCUAACUACGU
This 467-nucleotide ribosomal RNA is filed under the name uncultured bacterium. RNAcentral describes it as "partial 16S ribosomal RNA". It matches the Rfam family "Bacterial small subunit ribosomal RNA", at positions 28 to 506 of the family's 1533-position model. The record is from RNAcentral.